Molecule: long non-coding RNA, 655 nt
Filed under: Elaeis guineensis (African oil palm)
Lineage: Eukaryota; Viridiplantae; Streptophyta; Magnoliopsida; Arecales; Arecaceae
Description: long non-coding RNA (EGUI_LNC033428)
Source: RNAcentral
UCAUGGAGGACAGUGAUCAAUCUAUUCGAGAUCGAUGCAAGGAUCACCUUCUUUUUGGGUAGAUAAGUCUCAAGUUUGCGAUAUAGUACACUGGGGUGAGAAUGCUGGUGGUUGUUAGAGAACAACUUGUACUAAAUGUGACCAACACGAAAAAUCACUUGGAUAUGUACUCACUUGUCAGUGAUUUUCUUGAUGCUGUAGUGGUAUGAUUGAUCUUUUGACUUGUGGUAUAUUAGCUAUUUGCAGCGAGGCUACUUAGUUUGACUGUAUGUUUUCUUGGUCCAUAGACAUUCAGAUUCUUGCUACGUAUGUUGGCUAUUACAGGUUCAGAUUCACUGUUUGGAGUAGGAUGCACCUAGAUGGAAUCUGUCAUCUUUGGUAGAAAAAAGGAAGUCCUAUGCGAUUCGUAAGACUGAGUUCAAAAAAUCUCUGACCAUAGUAAGUGUGAAUACUAGAAAAGAGUUUCCACAAGAUUCACAGAUGAACUCAAGUCAAGCCAAUCUAGUAUAUAACUGACGAUGGGGUUUGACGAGUUUUCCAUAACCUUCGUCAAUUCGAGACUCACGAUAGAGGGAUUAUAUCACACGAUAAUUGCACCUAGAGGUUCAUAUCUUUUUGUUCUACUGAAUUAUCACUAUAAAUUGCUAGAUCAAUG